AAUAAAAUCAACGCUAAGGGAUUCAAAAUUUAAAUGAAAAUAAGCAAAUAAAGUUAAUCAAUUUCAAUCAAAGCCACAUACAAAAAUAUUCAAAGUAAUACAAGGUUAGUAAGUAAGAUGAAUGAUAACAUAAAGAAGGUAAGGGGCUAGAUAUUAUAAGUUCAUAUUGAAGCAAGUAACUCCUAGCGACGCAGACCCCCAAGCUCUUGUCCUAUGGCCGUUAACUCAAUCUUCGGGUCAAAAUGGAGUUUCAAUCAAAACUCCAACUCCUGAGUUCACAUGAAAAAUAAAGGAUAAGGAUUAGAAAAGAUUAAAUAAUUUAAUAAGGUACGAAUGGAAAUCAGAGAAUUAUUAAACAAGAGUUACUAGGAUCAGACCACGCUAUUUGUUUUUUCUUAUGAACUCGGCCACUUGACUAAACGGAGAACACAGAAUCAUGACAUACACUUCAAUCAUGUGAAUGUUUAUACCCCAUAUAAUUUAGCUAAACCCAAUCUCAAAUGGAAAACACCCCCUGAUGUUAAUAUGCAUGCAAUAGCCCAACCUUUCGGGACUCUCAGAGAAGUAUAUUAUGUACAAAACUCCAUCAUAAUAAUUAAUACACCAAAGUAGGUCAAAAAGAAUAAAAUGAGAUGUGAUAUAUAAAUAAAAUGACUACUAGCAGUCAGAUUACAUGUUCCUCAUGCUUACCAAUUUACGGGCACAUGAUGUAUCUGCUAGUUCAAUAAUGUUUUCCAUACAUGUAAGAAAUGAUUGUUUUAAAAAAGGAAAAGCCGAAAAGCUACAUACACAAAAAACUCCCUAUCUUUAGCAAAGAAAUUGACUAUGUAGAUGCCAUAAUUUGGCAUAAGCAAAAUUCGAUUUGGAUGUUGUGAAUACAAAUCCAUUCACCAUUUUAGAACCAUAUAAAAUAUGCAAUCGGUUGUAAAGAAAGGGGUUGGGAAAACCAUGACAUUAGAAUUCUAGUUACCAAAUUCACGGGUAGAUUACCACAUCAGUAAGAACCCAUUAUUGAAACCGAACUAAGGCAAACAACAUUUCUUAAAGUUGCCAGCAAAAUGGAUCAAAGGACAAAGGGGGAAGUAAGGGUUCACAUAUUCAAACUCUAGAUUUAUUUCAUUUGAGACUCAACUUAAAAUUAUUCACAAGUGCUAGUCAAUCUAAAUUCACCUAAGCACUCUUAAAACUCAAAAUUUUAAACCCAAUAGUUGGAAAAGAUUCUUAACGUUGAAUCGCCAGAGAUGAUGUUCGGUGGGACACAUGAUAUCUUACAUGGAUUACCCAAAUACAAACAACAAAAGAGGAUAAAAACUAAUAGUGAUCUAGAACUCUAUAAUGGAAGGAAGAAAAGAUCAACCAGUGGUCAUUGAAGUAAUGAGUAUAAUCAUUUUCAUAACUAUGAAAUCAUUCGUAAGUGCAAACAAAGCAUAACAGAUAAAGGACCGGAUUAAUAUUUAUUUUUAGGUUUGAAAUUAGGAUACAAUAACCAAAGGCAGCACUUGAAAUAAACUAAUUGAACUACACUUGUCUUUAAAAAUCCGAUUCAAGAGGAGAUUUUUUGAAGUACUGAAACAAAAUAACCACGACAUUGACACAUUAUUAUGAAAACAUAUAGUCACAAAUCAGAUAAUUUUAUGGAAUAAAAAAUUUAGACUCAAUUACCAAAAUUCAAGAAAACACCAUGGCUAAAAAACUUGAAAAAAUUCGCGUAAAGAUUUAUUUUCUAGAAUCAAUGGCAACAAAUUAAAUUUUGGUCUAAAUUAAACCAACACAACAUGUCCACGGAACCAAAGCAGUAUGAAAAAAGGAAGAUGAAAGUGAGAUGAAAGGGCGAAUUCUUACCUUGUGUUGGGUAAAAAACGAGGAGUUUUUCGUCAAUUAUUCUGAAAACGAACUUGAUCUUCGAACUCGACUUCAAUAGGACUCAUAAAUAAUGAAAAAGUGAGAGUGUGAUGAAUAGAAGCUGAUAAAGCGUUUUAUAUUUUUAUGAACCACUUUCCCCUUUUUUCUCAUCAAAAAACUUGUCCUUAAAUGGGUAAAAACGUAAGUAUUUUAUGCGAAUCCAAACUUAAAAUUGCGGAUUUGAAACCAAAAAAAAAAAUCAAAGAAACCAACGGCCAAAUCAAAAGGGAUGUAUUUGACAUUCAAAAGUUGAAAAGGCUUCACGAGUUUGGACGAUUUUGUGCAUUUAAUCCAAAUUUGAAAUAAAGUUUCCGUUGAAGCACUGAUUUGGGUCUGAUUUUCUGAUCAUGAAGGGAUUCACGAGUUGGUAUGGCUAAAAGGGGAGAGGAAUCUUGCAGGGGUGGCAGCUAUGGCUUCCACGGCGCAGCUAGGAUUUCAAUUUGGGAGAAGAUGAGAAGAGAGGGAGAGGAGAGAGAGUUUGCCAUUAUUGUUGUUUUGGGAAAAGGAAAGAGACAUAUCACUGCCUUUUGGGUAAAAGGAAU
RNAcentral lists this long non-coding RNA (2444 nucleotides) under Capsicum annuum. Its description in RNAcentral is "long non-coding RNA (CANN_LNC018722)". Lineage: Eukaryota; Viridiplantae; Streptophyta; Magnoliopsida; Solanales; Solanaceae. The record is from RNAcentral.